UACAGAGGGUGCGAGCGUUAAUCGGAAUUCCUGGGCGUAAAGCGCGCGUAGGCGGCUUUGCAAGUCGAGUGUGAAAUCCCCAGGCUUAACCUGGGAACUGCUCUCGAGACUGCAUAGCUAGAGUAUGGGAGAGGGAAGUGGAAUUUCAGGUGUAGCGGUGAAAUGCGUAGAUAUCUGAAGGAACAUCAGUGGCGAAAGCGACUUCCUGGACCAAUACUGACGCUCAUGUGCGAAAGCGUGGGGAGCAAACAGG
Molecule: ribosomal RNA, 253 nt
Filed under: uncultured bacterium
Lineage: Bacteria
Description: partial 16S ribosomal RNA
Rfam family: Bacterial small subunit ribosomal RNA
Source: RNAcentral